AUAUUUCUCUGGUAUGGGAGCUGUUUCCUAUGAUCCUGUAGGUGGAGCUCCUGGGAUGAGGUGUAUCCAUUGCACUCUGGCUGCGCUGACUCCUGUGAUUUCCUCAAAUGUGGGAAACUUAACUGCAUAAUUUGUGAUAGUGGGGGACUGCGUUUGCGCUCUUUGCUG
Molecule: small nuclear RNA, 168 nt
Filed under: Sphenodon punctatus (tuatara)
Lineage: Eukaryota; Metazoa; Chordata; Lepidosauria; Sphenodontia; Sphenodontidae
Description: U1 spliceosomal RNA (ENSSPUG00000000377.1)
Rfam family: U1 spliceosomal RNA
About the family: U1 is a small nuclear RNA (snRNA) component of the spliceosome (involved in pre-mRNA splicing). Its 5' end forms complementary base pairs with the 5' splice junction, thus defining the 5' donor site of an intron.
Source: Rfam by way of RNAcentral